This 497-nucleotide ribosomal RNA is filed under the name uncultured bacterium. Its description in RNAcentral is "partial 16S ribosomal RNA". It matches the Rfam family "Bacterial small subunit ribosomal RNA", at positions 28 to 507 of the family's 1533-position model. The record is from RNAcentral.
GAUGAACGCUGGCGGCGUGCCUAAUACAUGCAAGUCGAGCGAACAGACGAGGAGCUUGCUCCUCUGACGUUAGCGGCGGACGGGUGAGUAACACGUGGAUAACCUACCUAUAAGACGGGGAUAACUUCGGGAAACCGGAGCUAAUACCGGAUAAUAUAUUGAACCGCAUGGUGCAAUAGUGAAAGACGGUUUUGCUGUCACUUAUAGAUGGAUCCGCGCCGCAUUAGCUAGUUGGUAAGGUAACGGCUUACCAAGGCAACGAUGCGUAGCCGACCUGAGAGGGUGAUCGGCCACACUGGAACUGAGACACGGUCCAGACUCCUACGGGAGGCAGCAGUAGGGAAUCUUCCGCAAUGGGCGAAAGCUUGACGGAGCAACGCCGCGUGAGUGAUGAAGGUCUUCGGAUCGUAAAACUCUGUUAUUAGGGAAGAACAAAUGUGUAAGUAACUAUGCACGUCUUGACGGUACCUAAUCAGAAAGCCACGGCUAACUACGUG